GAUGAAGAACGUAGCGAAAUGCGAUACGUAAUGUGAAUUGCAGAAUUCAGUGAAUCAUCGAAUCUUUGAACGCACAUUGCGCCCGCCAGCACUCUGGCGGGCAUGCCUGUUCGAGCGUCAUUUCAACCAUCAAGCCCCAGGCUUGCGUUGGAGCCCUGCGGCUGCUGCAGCCUCCUAAAAGCAGUGGCGGGCUCGCUAUCACACCGAGUGCAGUAGAUUACUCUUCGCUCAGGGCGUGCAGCGGGUUCCGGCCGUGAAACCCCCUACUUUUAAAGGUUGACCUCGGAUCAGGUAGGAAUACCCGCUGAACUUAAGCAUAUCAAUAAGCGGAGGA
This 334-nucleotide unclassified non-coding RNA is filed under the name soil metagenome. Its description in RNAcentral is "partial contains 5.8S ribosomal RNA, internal transcribed spacer 2, and large subunit ribosomal RNA". The stretch from base 1 to 120 matches the Rfam family "5.8S ribosomal RNA", at positions 35 to 154 of the family's 154-position model. The record is from RNAcentral.